This 306-nucleotide ribosomal RNA is filed under the name uncultured bacterium. Its description in RNAcentral is "bacterial SSU rRNA". It matches the Rfam family "Bacterial small subunit ribosomal RNA", at positions 28 to 324 of the family's 1533-position model. The record is from RNAcentral.
AACGAACGCUGGCGGCGCGUUUUAAGCAUGCAAGUCGAGCAGUAAGGUCCUUCGGGACCCCAGAGCGGCGGACGGGUGAGUAACACGUGGAUAAUCUGCCUUCCAGUCCGGGAUAGCACAUGGAAACAUGUGAUAAUACCGGAUACGAUGUGCCUGCCACAUGGCGGGUGCAGGAAAGGUCCUGCGGGAUCGCUGGGAGAUGAGUCCGCGGCCCAUUAGCUGGGUUGGGCGGGGUAAACGGCCCCACCGAAGGCGACGAGUGGGUAGCCGGCCUGAGAAGGUGGACGGCCACAGUUGGGACUGAGA